UACAGAGGCCUCGAGCGUUGUUCGGAAUUACUGGGCGUAAAGGGAAUGUAGGUGGUCAUGUAAGUCAGAUGUGAAAGCCCUAGGCUUAACCUGGGAAGUGCAUUUGAUACUGCGUGGCUGGAGUGCGAGAGAGGAAAGCGGAAUCCGUGGUGUAGGAGUGAAAUCCGUAGAUAUCAGGAGGAAUACCGAUGGCGAAGGCAGCUUUCUGGCUCGUAACUGACACUGGAGAUUCGAAAGCUUGGGUAGCAAACAGG
Molecule: ribosomal RNA, 254 nt
Filed under: uncultured bacterium
Lineage: Bacteria
Description: partial 16S ribosomal RNA
Rfam family: Bacterial small subunit ribosomal RNA
Source: RNAcentral